RNAcentral lists this ribosomal RNA (336 nucleotides) under Triticum aestivum (bread wheat). RNAcentral's name for it is "partial small subunit ribosomal RNA". Lineage: Eukaryota; Viridiplantae; Streptophyta; Magnoliopsida; Poales; Poaceae. The record is from RNAcentral.
AUGCUUUCAUUGUUUAUUACACAUACACAUGCUUAUGUUUUCAUGUCACUACCUGGAAAGAAGCAACUAGUGAACCUGCGAACCCGUUCCAAUUUUCCUCAUAAAAAUUACCACAACUUUACUUUGCAUGCAAGUUUUUAUAUAUUUAUUUAUUUUGAAAAUACAAAAAUACUUCAAACCAUAAAAUACACCCAUGACUUGUUGCAACUAGCACAGCUAGGGAGAUUGACAACCUCGAAGUUGUUGGGGACACAAGUGAAGUUCCUAGUUUCUGGUUGCAGUGUUGUUGACUGGAGUUCAGAGUGUUGCAUCUAUGGGUUGAUCCUUGGUUUUUGA